UACGGAGGGUGCAAGCGUUAUCCGGAAUCACUGGGUUUAAAGGGUGCGUAGGAGGUGGCGUAAGUCAGUUGUGAAAUUCCACGGCUUAACCGGCGGGGGUGCGAUUGAUUCUGCGUCACUUGAAUCAGGUUGAGGUAGGCGGAAUGUGACAUGUAGCGGUGAAAUGCAUAGAUAUGUCAUAGAACACCAAUUGCGAAGGCAGCUUGCUGGACCUGGAUUGACGCUGAGGCACGAAAGCGUGGGGAGCAAACAGG
RNAcentral lists this ribosomal RNA (254 nucleotides) under uncultured bacterium. Its description in RNAcentral is "partial 16S ribosomal RNA". It matches the Rfam family "Bacterial small subunit ribosomal RNA", at positions 524 to 776 of the family's 1533-position model. The record is from RNAcentral.